GACGAACGCUGGCGGCGUGCUUAACACAUGCAAGUCGAACGGAAAGGCCCUGCUUUUGUGGGGUGCUCGAGUGGCGAACGGGUGAGUAACACGUGAGUAACCUGCCCUUGACUUUGGGAUAACUUCAGGAAACUGGGGCUAAUACCGGAUAGGAGCUCCUGCUGCAUGGUGGGGGUUGGAAAGUUUCGGCGGUUGGGGAUGGACUCGCGGCUUAUCAGCUUGUUGGUGGGGUAGUGGCUUACCAAGGCUUUGACGGGUAGCCGGCCUGAGAGGGUGACCGGCCACCUUGGGACUGAGAUACGGCCCAGACUCCUACGGGAGGCAGCAGUGGGGAAUAUUGCACAAUGGGGGGAAGCGUGAGGCAGCAACGCCGCGUGCGGGAUGACGGCCUUCGGGUUGUAAACCGCUUUCGCCUGUGACGAAGCGUGAGUGACGGUAAUGGGUAAAGAAGCACCGGCUAACUACGUG
RNAcentral lists this ribosomal RNA (468 nucleotides) under uncultured bacterium. RNAcentral describes it as "partial 16S ribosomal RNA". It matches the Rfam family "Bacterial small subunit ribosomal RNA", at positions 28 to 507 of the family's 1533-position model. The record is from RNAcentral.